AGAGCGAACGCUGGCGGCAGGCCUAACACAUGCAAGUCGAACGGACUCUUCGGGGUUAGUGGCGGACGGGUGAGUAACACGUGGGAACGUGCCUUUAGGUUCGGAAUAGCUCCUGGAAACGGGUGGUAAUGCCGAAUGUGCCCUUCGGGGGAAAGAUUUAUCGCCUUUAGAGCGGCCCGCGUCUGAUUAGCUAGUUGGUGAGGUAAAGGCUCACCAAGGCUACGAUCAGUAGCUGGUCUGAGAGGAUGACCAGCCACAUUGGGACUGAGACACGGCCCAAACUCCUACGGGAGGCAGCAGUGGGGAAUCUUGCGCAAUGGGCGAAAGCCUGACGCAGCCAUGCCGCGUGAAUGAUGAAGGUCUUAGGAUUGUAAAAUUCUUUCAGUAGGGACGAUAAUGACGGUACCUACAGAAGAAGCCCGGACUAACUUCGUCGCCAGCAGCCGAC
Molecule: ribosomal RNA, 448 nt
Filed under: uncultured soil bacterium
Lineage: Bacteria
Description: bacterial SSU rRNA
Rfam family: Bacterial small subunit ribosomal RNA
Source: RNAcentral